Molecule: non-coding RNA, 96 nt
Organism: Mycena galopus ATCC 62051
Lineage: Eukaryota; Fungi; Basidiomycota; Agaricomycetes; Agaricales; Mycenaceae
Source: the annotation of a GenBank genome assembly
GCAUUAAUGGGGUAGUGGUAACCUGGGUUGUUGCCAUAAUGUUCCAGGUGUCUUUGUGUUCUCGACCCACCGGGGGUUCAAUUCCCCCUUAAUGCA